This 253-nucleotide ribosomal RNA is filed under the name uncultured bacterium. RNAcentral describes it as "partial 16S ribosomal RNA". It matches the Rfam family "Bacterial small subunit ribosomal RNA", at positions 524 to 776 of the family's 1533-position model. The record is from RNAcentral.
UACGGAGGGGGCAAGCGUUAUUCGGAAUUAUUGGGCGUAAAGGGCGCGUAGGCGGCUAGAUGUGUCAAAGGUGAAAUCCCUCGGCUCAACUGAGGAACUGCCUUUGAAACUGUCUGGCUUGAGGCCGGAAGAGGGUAGCGGAAUUCCCAGUGUAGCGGUGAAAUGCGUAGAUAUUGGGAGGAACACCAGUGGCGAAGGCGGCUACCUGGACCGGUUCUGACGCUGAGGCGCGAAAGCGUGGGGAGCAAACAGG